This 93-nucleotide transfer RNA is filed under the name Stenotrophomonas maltophilia. RNAcentral's name for it is "tRNA-Ser". Lineage: Bacteria; Pseudomonadati; Pseudomonadota; Gammaproteobacteria; Lysobacterales; Lysobacteraceae. The record is from RNAcentral.
GCCGCAGACCAUCCGAUUUCAAAUCAUGGCAAGCCCUACACUGUCUGACUUGUAAACAGUAGGUCAUCCGUUCGAUUCGGAUAAGCGGCACCA